GUAAAGUCAGCUAAUUAAGCU
RNAcentral lists this transfer RNA (21 nucleotides) under Plestiodon lotus. Its description in RNAcentral is "partial tRNA-Met". The record is from RNAcentral. Lineage: Eukaryota; Metazoa; Chordata; Lepidosauria; Squamata; Scincidae.